GCAGUCGAGCGAACGGAUAAGGAGCUUGCUCCUUUGAAGUUAGCGGCGGACGGGUGAGUAACACGUGGGUAACCUACCUAUAAGACUGGAAUAACUUCGGGAAACCGGAGCUAAUGCCGGAUAACAUUUGGAACCGCAUGGUUCUAAAGUAAAAGAUGGUUUUGCUAUCACUUAUAGAUGGACCCGCGCCGUAUUAGCUAGUUGGUAAGGUAACGGCUUACCAAGGCAACGAUACGUAGCCGACCUGAGAGGGUGAUCGGCCACACUGGAACUGAGACACGGUCCAGACUCCUACGGGAGGCAGCAGUAGGGAAUCUUCCGCAAUGGACGAAAGUCUGACGGAGCAACGCCGCGUGAGUGAUGAAGGUUUUCGGAUCGUAAAACUCUGUUAUUAGGGAAGAACAAAUGUGUAAGUAACUGUGCACAUCUUGACGGUACCUAAUCAGAAAGCCACGGCUAACUACGUGCCAGCAGCCGCGGUAAUACGU
Molecule: ribosomal RNA, 488 nt
Filed under: bacterium 45-L049641-122-013-E06
Lineage: Bacteria
Description: bacterial SSU rRNA
Rfam family: Bacterial small subunit ribosomal RNA
Source: RNAcentral